Molecule: transfer RNA, 82 nt
Organism: Lichtheimia corymbifera
Lineage: Eukaryota; Fungi; Mucoromycota; Mucoromycetes; Mucorales; Lichtheimiaceae
Rfam family: tRNA
About the family: Transfer RNA (tRNA) molecules are approximately 80 nucleotides in length. Their secondary structure includes four short double-helical elements and three loops (D, anti-codon, and T loops).
Source: Rfam
GUCACUUUGGCGGAGUGGUUAACGCGGUGCCCUGCUAAGGCAUUGUCCUUUGGACGCGCAGGUUCGAAUCCUGCAGGUGACG